Molecule: ribosomal RNA, 765 nt
Filed under: uncultured Streptococcus sp.
Lineage: Bacteria; Bacillati; Bacillota; Bacilli; Lactobacillales; Streptococcaceae
Description: bacterial SSU rRNA
Rfam family: Bacterial small subunit ribosomal RNA
Source: RNAcentral
GACGAACGCUGGCGGCGUGCCUAAUACAUGCAAGUAGAACGCUGAAGAGAGGAGCUUGCUCUUCUUGGAUGAGUUGCGAACGGGUGAGUAACGCGUAGGUAACCUGCCUGGUAGCGGGGGAUAACUAUUGGAAACGAUAGCUAAUACCGCAUAAAAUGGAUUAUCGCAUGAUAAUCCAUUGAAAGGUGCAAAUGCAUCACUACCAGAUGGACCUGCGUUGUAUUAGCUAGUUGGUGGGGUAACGGCUCACCAAGGCGACGAUACAUAGCCGACCUGAGAGGGUGAUCGGCCACACUGGGACUGAGACACGGCCCAGACUCCUACGGGAGGCAGCAGUAGGGAAUCUUCGGCAAUGGACGGAAGUCUGACCGAGCAACGCCGCGUGAGUGAAGAAGGUUUUCGGAUCGUAAAGCUCUGUUGUAAGAGAAGAACGAGUGUGAGAGUGGAAAGUUCACACUGUGACGGUAUCUUACCAGAAAGGGACGGCUAACUACGUGCCAGCAGCCGCGGUAAUGCGUAGGUCCCGAGCGUUGUCCGGAUUUAUUGGGCGUAAAGCGAGCGCAGGCGGUUAGAUAAGUCUGAAGUUAAAGGCUGUGGCUUAACCAUAGUACGCUUUGGAAACUGUUUAACUUGAGUGCAAGAGGGGAGAGUGGAAUUCCAUGUGUAGCGGUGAAAUGCGUAGAUAUAUGGAGGAACACCGGUGGCGAAAGCGGCUCUCUGGCUUGUAACUGACGCUGAGGCUCGAAAGCGUGGGGAGCAAACAGG